This 497-nucleotide ribosomal RNA is filed under the name uncultured bacterium. RNAcentral describes it as "partial 16S ribosomal RNA". It matches the Rfam family "Bacterial small subunit ribosomal RNA", at positions 28 to 507 of the family's 1533-position model. The record is from RNAcentral.
GACGAACGCUGGCGGCGUGCCUAAUACAUGCAAGUUGAGCGCUGAAGCGUGGUACUUGUACCACCUGGAUGAGCAGCGAACGGGUGAGUAACGCGUGGGGAAUCUGCCUUUGAGCGGGGGACAACAUUGGGAAACGAAUGCUAAUACCGCAUAAAAACUUUAAACACAAGUUUUAAGAUUGAAAGACGCAAUUGCAUCACUCAAAGAUGAUCCCGCGUUGUAUUAGCUAGUUGGUGAGGUAAAGGCCUACCAAGGCGAUGAUACAUAGCCGACCUGAGAGGGUGAUCCGCCACCACGGGACUGAGACACGGCCCAAACCCCCACGGGGAGGAGCAGGAGGGAAACCUCGGGAAUUGGGGAAAGUCUUACCGAACAACGCCGGCGGAGGUAAUAAGGUUCUCGGAUCGGAAAACUCCGUUGGUUGAGAAGAAAGAUGGUGAGAGUGGAAAGCUCAUGAAGUGACGGUAACUACUCAGAAAGCGACGGCUAACUACGUG